UGGGGAAUUUUGGACAAUGGGGGAAACCCUGAUCCAGCCAUCCCGCGUGUGCGAUGAAGGCCUUCGGGUUGUAAAGCACUUUUGGCAGGAAAGAAACGUCAUGGGUUAAUACCCCGUGAAACUGACGGUACCUGCAGAAUAAGCACCGGCUAACUACGUGCCAGCAGCCGCGGUAAUACGUAGGGUGCAAGCGUUAAUCGGAAUUACUGGGCGUAAAGCGUGCGCAGGCGGUUCGGAAUGAAAGAUGUGAAAUCCCAGAGCUCAACUUUGGAACUGCAUUUUUAACUACCGGGCUAGAGUGUGUCAGAGGGAGGUGGAAUUCCGCGUGUAGCAGUGAAAUGCGUAGAUAUGCGGAGGAACACCGAUGGCGAAGGCAGCCUCCUGGGAUAACACUGACGCUCAUGCACGAAAGCGUGGGGAGCAAACAGG
This 429-nucleotide ribosomal RNA is filed under the name Acidobacteriota bacterium. RNAcentral's name for it is "Acidobacteria bacterium partial 16S ribosomal RNA". It matches the Rfam family "Bacterial small subunit ribosomal RNA", at positions 355 to 776 of the family's 1533-position model. Lineage: Bacteria; Pseudomonadati; Acidobacteriota. The record is from RNAcentral.